GUUAAUGUAGCUUAAUNAAAGCAAAGCACUGAAAAUGCUUAGAUGGAUGCAAGCAUCCCAUAAACA
RNAcentral lists this transfer RNA (66 nucleotides) under Microtus richardsoni (water vole). RNAcentral describes it as "tRNA-Phe". It matches the Rfam family "tRNA". Rfam says of the family: Transfer RNA (tRNA) molecules are approximately 80 nucleotides in length. Their secondary structure includes four short double-helical elements and three loops (D, anti-codon, and T loops). The record is from RNAcentral. Lineage: Eukaryota; Metazoa; Chordata; Mammalia; Rodentia; Cricetidae.